AGAGAGGUGGCUCAGCAGGUAGAGCAUAAGUCUUACAUACAUGAGGUCCAGGAGUGGUGUUCUGACCUCUCUC
RNAcentral lists this transfer RNA (73 nucleotides) under Erinaceus europaeus (western European hedgehog). It matches the Rfam family "tRNA". Rfam says of the family: Transfer RNA (tRNA) molecules are approximately 80 nucleotides in length. Their secondary structure includes four short double-helical elements and three loops (D, anti-codon, and T loops). Further hydrogen bonds mediate the characteristic L-shaped molecular structure. tRNAs have two regions of fundamental functional importance: the anti-codon, which is responsible for specific mRNA codon recognition, and the 3' end, to which the tRNAs corresponding amino acid is attached (by aminoacyl-tRNA synthetases). tRNAs cope with the degeneracy of the genetic code in two manners: having more than one tRNA (with a specific anti-codon) for a particular amino acid; and 'wobble' base-pairing, i.e. permitting non-standard base-pairing at the 3rd anti-codon position. The record is from Rfam by way of RNAcentral. Lineage: Eukaryota; Metazoa; Chordata; Mammalia; Eulipotyphla; Erinaceidae.